UUUGAACCACUCUGCAGCCCGACUUGAGCGGAAAUCCUUUUUGUGGAGCGGAGCGGAACAAAAAGAUUGGGAGCGGAAGGCGGAAAUGCUG
RNAcentral lists this small RNA (91 nucleotides) under Halpernia humi. RNAcentral describes it as "Chryseobacterium humi Flavo-1 RNA". Lineage: Bacteria; Pseudomonadati; Bacteroidota; Flavobacteriia; Flavobacteriales; Weeksellaceae. The record is from RNAcentral.